This 254-nucleotide ribosomal RNA is filed under the name uncultured bacterium. Its description in RNAcentral is "partial 16S ribosomal RNA". It matches the Rfam family "Bacterial small subunit ribosomal RNA", at positions 524 to 776 of the family's 1533-position model. The record is from RNAcentral.
UACGAAGGGGGCUAGCGUUGUUCGGAAUUACUGGGCGUAAAGAGCUCGUAGGCGGUUUUGAAAGUCGGGUGUGAAACCUCCAGGCUCAACCUGGAGACGCCACUCGAUACUUCAAUGACUUGAGUUCGGUAGGGGUAAGCGGAAUUCCUGGUGUAGCGGUGAAAUGCGCAGAUAUCAGGAGGAACACCGACGGCGAAGGCAGCUUACUGGGCCGAUACUGACGCUGAGGAGCGAAAGCGUGGGGAGCGAACAGG